UUUUUAAAAAAAAAAGGCCCCUUUCCCGUGGGGAAACCCUGGGAAAGGGCCCUUUAUAGAUUUUAAAACAGGGGUUGAAGGGCCCCUUGAGGGGCAUGCCCACCCCGGGCUCUCCCACUUUACCCCUUGCACAUUUUUUGGGGUUUUCGGGAGUUGAAAAAGCGAAAAAAGGGCCCUUCAGGGGCUUUUUCUCGCCUAUUUGUUACUGGGCCUAGGUUUCACUACAAACACAUUUAUAAAGUCUGAAAAUGUAUAUUGCGAUGUAACGCAUCUAUAUACAAUUUUCAGAAAGGUUUCUUUGGUCUCUCCCAUCGAAGAAGAACGCAGCAAAGUGCGAUAAGUAAUGAAAAUCGCAGAAUUCAGAGACUCAUAAACUCUUAAAACGCCCCUUCCCCUCUUGGAUUUCCCGGGGCCCACCCCUUUUUGAGUGUCAGAAAUUUCUAACCCAAAGGGUUUUUAAAGGGAAUUUGUUUAGGCUUGGCCUGGGAGGUUUUGGUCGCCUUGCUCCAAUGCCAAUUGGGCUCUUUUAAAAUCCAUAAGCUGGGUUCCUGUGGGGUUCGGCCCCCGGUGUGAUAAUUGUUUCCCCCUCGACGGCUGACCUUUUUAUAGCCCAGCUUCUAGUCUUCUCUUUACGAGACAAUAAUCAUCGAACUCUGACCUCAAAUCAGGUAGGACUACCCGCUGAACUUAAGCCAACAAGGGG
RNAcentral lists this ribosomal RNA (703 nucleotides) under Lentinus sp. GJ-2012a. RNAcentral describes it as "eukaryotic LSU rRNA". The stretch from base 280 to 433 matches the Rfam family "5.8S ribosomal RNA". Lineage: Eukaryota; Fungi; Basidiomycota; Agaricomycetes; Polyporales; Polyporaceae. The record is from RNAcentral.